CCUACGGGUGGCUGCAGUGGGGAAUAUUGGACAAUGGGGGCAACCCUGAUCCAGCAAUGCCGCGUGAGUGAUGAAGGCCUUCGGGUUGUAAAGCUCUUUUGCCAGGGACGAUGAUGACGGUACCUGGAGAAUAAGCCCCGGCUAACUUCGUGCCAGCAGCCGCGGUAAUACGAAGGGGGCAAGCGUUGUUCGGAAUUACGGGGCGUAAAGGGCGCGUAGGCGGCUUAUCAAGUCAGGCGUGAAAUUCCCGGGCUCAACCUGGGGGCUGCGCUGGAUACUGAUGAGCUUGAAUGCGGGAGAGGAUAGUGGAAUUCCCAGUGUAGUGGUGAAAGUCGUAGAUAUUGGGAAGAACACCGGUGGCGAAGGCGGCUAUCUGGCCCGUAAUUGACGCUGAGGCGCGAAAGCGUGGGGAGCAAACAGGAUUAGAUACCCUAGUAGUC
RNAcentral lists this ribosomal RNA (440 nucleotides) under uncultured Rhodospirillaceae bacterium. RNAcentral's name for it is "bacterial SSU rRNA". It matches the Rfam family "Bacterial small subunit ribosomal RNA", at positions 338 to 795 of the family's 1533-position model. The record is from RNAcentral. Lineage: Bacteria; Pseudomonadati; Pseudomonadota; Alphaproteobacteria; Rhodospirillales; Rhodospirillaceae.